AGAGUUUGAUCAUGGCUCAGGACGAACGCUGGCGGCGUGCCUUAAUACAUGCAAGUAGAACGCUGAAGAAAGGAGCUUGCUUCUUUGGAUGAGUUGCGAACGGGUGAGUAACGCGUAGGUACCUGCCUUGUAGCGGGGGAUAACUAUUGAAACGAUAGCUAAUACCGCAUAACAGCUUUUGACACAUGUUAGAAGCUGAAAGAUGCAAUUGCAUCACUACGAAAUGGACCUGCGUUGUAUUAGCUAGUGGGUAGGGUAACGGCCUACCUAGGCGACGAUACAUAGCCGACCUGAGAGGGUGAUCGGCCACACUGGGACUGAGACACGGCCCAGACUCCUACGGGAGGCAGCAGUAGGGAAUCUUCGGCAAUGGGGGCAACCCUGACCGAGCAACGCCGCGUGAGUGAAGAAGGUUUUCGGAUCGUAAAGCUCUGUUGUAAGAGAAGAACGUGUGUGAGAGUGGAAAGUUCACACAGUGACGGUAACUUACCAGAAAGGGACGGCUAACUACGUGCCAGCAGCCGCGGUAAUACGUAGGUCCCGAGCGUUGUCCGGAUUUAUUGGGCGUAAAGCGAGCGCAGGCGGUUUAAUAAGUCUGAAGUUAAAGGCAGUGGCUUAACCAUUGUUCACUUUGGAAACUGUUAAACUUGAGUGCAGAAGGGGAGAGUGGAAUUCCAUGUGUAGCGGUGAAAUGCGUAGAUAUAUGGAGGAACACCGGUAGCGAAAGCGGCUCUCUGGUCUGUAACUGACGCUGAGGCUCGAAAGCGUGGGGAGCAAACAGGAUUAGAUACCCUGGUAGUCCACGCCGUAAACGAUGAGUGCUAGGUGUUAGGCCCUUUCCGGGGCUUAGUGCCGCAGCUAACGCAUUAAGCACUCCGCCUGGGGAGUACGACCGCAAGGUUGAAACUCAAAGGAAUUGACGG
Molecule: ribosomal RNA, 923 nt
Filed under: uncultured bacterium
Lineage: Bacteria
Description: bacterial SSU rRNA
Rfam family: Bacterial small subunit ribosomal RNA
Source: RNAcentral